AACGAACGCUGGCGGCGUGCCUAACACAUGCAAGUCGAGCGCGAAAAGGGCAACCUGAGUAGAGCGGCGCACGGGUGCGUAACACGUGGGUAAUCUGCCUCAAAGUUUGGGAUAACCUUCCGAAAGGUUGGCUAAUACCGGAUAAGCUCACGAGGUCUUCGGACUUUGUGGGAAAAGGUGGCCUCUGUUUACAAGCCAUCACUUUGAGAUGAGCCCGCGGCCCAUCAGCUAGUUGGCGGGGGUAAAAGCCCACCAAGGCUACGACGGGUAGCUGGUCUGAGAGGACGAUCAGCCACACUGGAACUGAGACACGGUCCAGACUCCUACGGGAGGCAGCAGUGGGGAAUUUUGCACAAUGGGCGAAAGCCUGAUGCAGCAACGCCGCGUGUGUGAUGAAGGUCUUCGGAU
Molecule: ribosomal RNA, 408 nt
Filed under: uncultured bacterium
Lineage: Bacteria
Description: bacterial SSU rRNA
Rfam family: Bacterial small subunit ribosomal RNA
Source: RNAcentral